This 467-nucleotide ribosomal RNA is filed under the name uncultured bacterium. RNAcentral describes it as "partial 16S ribosomal RNA". It matches the Rfam family "Bacterial small subunit ribosomal RNA", at positions 28 to 507 of the family's 1533-position model. The record is from RNAcentral.
GACGAACGCUGGCGGCGUGCUUAACACAUGCAAGUCGAACGGAAAGGCCCUGCUUUUGUGGGGUGCUCGAGUGGCGAACGGGUGAGUAACACGUGAGUAACCUGCCCUUGACUUUGGGAUAACUUCAGGAAACUGGGGCUAAUACCGGAUAGGAGCUCCUGCUGCAUGGUGGGGGUUGGAAAGUUUCGGCGGUUGGGGAUGGACUCGCGGCUUAUCAGCUUGUUGGUGGGGUAGUGGCUUACCAAGGCUUUGACGGGUAGCCGGCCUGAGAGGGUGACCGGCCACAUGGGGACUGAGAUACGGCCCAGACUCCUACGGGAGGCAGCAGUGGGGAAUAUUGCACAAUGGGCGGAAGCCUGAUGCAGCAACGCCGCGUGCGGGAUGACGGCCUUCGGGUUGUAACCGCUUUCGCCUGUGACGAGGCGUGAGUGACGGUAAUGGGUAAAGAAGCACCGGCUAACUACGUG